This is a non-coding RNA of Manis javanica (Malayan pangolin), 1216 nucleotides long. Lineage: Eukaryota; Metazoa; Chordata; Mammalia; Pholidota; Manidae. The record is from RefSeq and is a predicted model, not a curated record.
GUGGAUAUCUGGGGCUUCUCAACCUUUAUCAUGCAGAUUGUACCGAUAACCAAGUGAAAUAUCUAAAAGUAUUUCCAGCUGAAAAGCCUGUACAAUGUCCAGAUGAGCAUUUGGAGUGCAUCAAAUUAUGUUAAAACUGGCCAAGCGAGGAACCUCCAUGAGAUUUGGAAGGCAAAAUGGAGACAGCAUCCAAUGAACCCACACUGAGAUCCACUUCCAGACUUUGGCUGUGGACUUACAAAGAAGGAAGCUACGCAGAGGCUACAGCAUCCCAUAGACAUUUGAACAAAUUACUCCUUCCGGGUCAGACUUACCUGGCUGUGCCUGGCUGCUCAGGUGGGCUGGUGAGGCCUCAGGGUGGUGGGCUGGUGCCAUGCCAGGAAAUGCUUCUCGACUCUGCUACUGUUUGCCUGACAUCUCAGGGCUGACUGCAGCUACAGCGGCCUUUGCGAGUGGAAAUUCUCGCAGCUGAAUCCAUGCAUCAUCUCCACUCCUGCCACCACCGUCUCUUUGCUUCUGGGCCCACAGGGCAAGGAUGAAAGCGGCCGAUGAAAGAGACUGACUGGCAUACACAGAAAUUGCCAUCUUAUCCACCUGAUGACUGAGCCCUCUCUCCAGAGGGUGCUCUUUGGGAAAAGGCUGAAAAAUAUGAACUGAGAAGACUUAAAAGAAAAAUGGCUGUACGCUCGAUGUCUACCUUUCUGGGGAAAACCAAUCAGUGAUUGAGCACUAGGAGAGACACAAGGUGUGUUGGAAGUCCUAUUUGCUAUUUCCUACAAAGUGAACAUGAGCCACAACAUCCAGAGUUGCAAAACAUGGGUCAGAAACUUUGACGCUUGGACGCGAUGCUGUUCAGAGGGUCUGUUCAAACUGAAACAGAACUCAGGGCCAUGAAGGACACAGAUGAGAAAAUAGAGGCUCAAAGAAGUGAAACGCAUCACCCAAAGCUUUACAGCUGAGAAGCGGUGCAGGUGGAGUUUGAGCACCCGUCUGCUGAAUUGAGAGACUGGAUGCCUAAGGCAUUACUUGAAACUAGAAGACUGCUGAUACUCCUCUUCAUAGUACCAGUCAGAAAUCUCUUCUUUUCCUCUGUUCUGCCCAAUUAACCUCUAAUCCUCAUAUCUUACUGUUAACCUAAACGUUAAUGAAUCAGAAGGUCUUUUUUGUUUUGUUUGGCUAUGACUCAAGUUACGGGUAUGAAAUAAACUCUGUUGCC